This 352-nucleotide unclassified non-coding RNA is filed under the name soil metagenome. RNAcentral describes it as "partial contains 5.8S ribosomal RNA, internal transcribed spacer 2, and large subunit ribosomal RNA". The stretch from base 1 to 120 matches the Rfam family "5.8S ribosomal RNA", at positions 35 to 154 of the family's 154-position model. The record is from RNAcentral.
GAUGAAGAACGUAGCGAAAUGCGAUAAGUAAUGUGAAUUGCAGAAUUCAGUGAAUCAUCGAAUCUUUGAACGCACAUUGCGCCCGCCAGUAUUCUGGCGGGCAUGCCUGUUCGAGCGUCAUUUCAACCCUCAGGCCCCCAGUGCCUGGUGUUGGGGAUCGGCCCAGCCUUCCUGUAAGGCCGCCGGCCCCGAAAUCUAGUGGCGGUCUCGCUGUAGUCCUCCUCUGCGUAGUAGCAUAACCUCGCAGUUGGAACGCGGCGGUGGCCAUGCCGUUAAACACCCCACUUCUGAAAGUUGACCUCGGAUCAGGUAGGAAUACCCGCUGAACUUAAGCAUAUCAAUAAGCGGAGGA